UACGAGGGGGGCGAGCGUUGUUCGGAAUUAUUGGGCGUAAAGGGUGCGUAGGCGGUUUGGUAAGUCUGAUGUGAAAGCCCUGGGCUCAACCUGGGAAUGGCAUUGGAUACUGGCGAUCUAGAGUGCGGUAGAGGGCAGUGGAAUUCCCGGUGUAGCAGUGAAAUGCGUAGAGAUCGGGAGGAACAUCUGUGGCGAAGGCGACUGCCUGGACCAGCACUGACACUGAGGCACGAAAGCGUGGGGAGCAAACAGG
This 253-nucleotide ribosomal RNA is filed under the name uncultured bacterium. RNAcentral's name for it is "partial 16S ribosomal RNA". It matches the Rfam family "Bacterial small subunit ribosomal RNA", at positions 524 to 776 of the family's 1533-position model. The record is from RNAcentral.